This 74-nucleotide transfer RNA is filed under the name Gossypium harknessii. Its description in RNAcentral is "tRNA-Trp". The record is from RNAcentral. Lineage: Eukaryota; Viridiplantae; Streptophyta; Magnoliopsida; Malvales; Malvaceae.
GCAUAUAAGACUGUAAGAAUCUUCCUAAAGUUAAAGUAGCAGGCAGAAGACAUGAAAGUCACUAAACAGCGCUU